UACGUAGGUGGCAAGCGUUGUCCGGAUUUAUUGGGUUUAAAGGGUGCGUAGGCGGCCUUUUAAGUCAGUGCUGAAAUACUCUAGCUUAACUAGAGGGGUGGCAUUGAUACUGAAAGGCUUGAGUGAAGUCGAAGUAGGCGGAAUUGACGGUGUAGCGGUGAAAUGCUUAGAUAUCGUCAAGAACACCGAUAGUGAAGACAGCUUACUAGACUUCAACUGACGCUGAGGCACGAAAGUGUGGGGAUCAAACAGG
RNAcentral lists this ribosomal RNA (253 nucleotides) under uncultured bacterium. RNAcentral describes it as "partial 16S ribosomal RNA". It matches the Rfam family "Bacterial small subunit ribosomal RNA", at positions 524 to 776 of the family's 1533-position model. RNAcentral also lists the same sequence under 1 other name. The record is from RNAcentral.